UAGGGAAUCUUCCGCAAUGGGCGAAAGCCUGACGGAGCAACGCCGCGUGAGUGAUGAAGUUCUUCGGAUCGUAAAACUCUGUUAUUAGGGAAGAACAAAUGUGUAAGUAACUAUGCACGUCUUGACGGUACCUAAUCAGAAAGCCACGGCUAACUACGUGCCAGCAGCCGCGGUAAUACGUAGGUGGAAAGCGUUAUCCGGAAUUAUUGGGGGUAAAGCGCGCGUAGGCGGUUUGUUAAGUCUGAUGUGAAAGCACAAGGCACAACCGUGGAGGGUACAUGGAAACUGGAAAACUGGAGGGCAGAAGAGGAAAGUGGAAUUCCAAGUGUAGCGGUGAAAAGCGAAGAGGUAUGGGGGAAAACCAGUGGCGAAGGCAACUUUCUGAUCUGAAACUGACGAUGAUGUGCGAAAGCGUGGGGAUCAAACAGG
This 429-nucleotide ribosomal RNA is filed under the name Actinomycetes bacterium. RNAcentral describes it as "Actinobacteria bacterium partial 16S ribosomal RNA". It matches the Rfam family "Bacterial small subunit ribosomal RNA", at positions 355 to 776 of the family's 1533-position model. Lineage: Bacteria; Bacillati; Actinomycetota; Actinomycetes. The record is from RNAcentral.